UGAGAUCAACAUCUCGAUACGGACACUGUAGCUUUGUGUUUGUAAAUUGUUUGUAAUUAUUUCACGUUAUUUAAGUGUUGUUCGGUUGUUGUGAUUAUUUUUAAAAGAAUCAGUUCCAACGAAUGGACUCAACGUUCCCGCCAAACAAACUUUUGAACGUUAGAAUACAAACGGGUCGUUUUUUGUGUUUCGGGUUUUGUUUAAUUAUUAUUUCUUUGAUUCUGUAGUUUUUCUUUGUUGAUUUAUUGAUUCUUUAAAAAUGUUUUAAUUCGCGCUAUCGUAGAUGUUCGCGAUCGGAAAUCAGUGCAAUUUGUAGAAAUCUCUUCCGUGUAUAGAGUAGGUGUAUCGUAGUGCGCGUUAUGUUCCGUUCGCCCGCGGCCCGGCGCGGUGCUCCGCGAGACGAACUGUCGCAUUGUACAAAUUUAAUAUGCCUACCAAAGAGACCCGGUCUCCUAACCUUAAUUAAAGCUAAGUAAGAAAGAGUCUAAGUUUACUGGCCUUGUGCGAAACGUUAAUCUUCCGCGCCAUCUUAUCAAUCAAUACUCUCGCAUAAGUUUAGUGUAAACGUGAUCGUGUUCCUGCAAUUUUAAUAGUCGGUGAAGUUAAACAAAUUGCCAUAAUUAUAAGUAGGUAUUAUUUUAGACGUUAGCGGUGUAAAUAGUUAGGGUAUGGAAGUGAGCGGUUCGCGAUUGCGCCGGCGCCGUGGAAUGGGCAGAAAAAGGCACAGGAGAGCGCGGCAGCGGCGGGGCAGAGGGGCGCGCGCCGCCGGCCACCGAACAAGACUAGGUGGUCGUCGUGUUAAAUGCUGUUAACGUAUCGGUAGGUGAUAGGAAAAUGUUUGAAUCAGCGCGCUCUUCAACAGCUUAAAAGACCUUAUACGUUUUAGGAGCGAUAAGCGAUAGAUGGAUCGUCCGUCGUAUUACCGAUCGAUUCACUCGGCGCUGCCACGUCGCGGAAUCAAGAUAUUAAUGUUGACUGUCGAAUAAAUUUUUACGCCCACACUAACGCUUAGGCGAUCGACUACCGUUGAUUUAUCGUCAAAAUUUCCCGUUAGCAACGCUCGCUGAGCACACUCCGAACAUCACUAUUUCACAAAUAAAAGAACCCGUCGCGAUAUCAUCGUCGACCAUAAAUUAUAUAACGCUCGCAUGAAAAAUACGCGUCUCCGUGCUUGGUUAUUUAUUACUCGAAAUAUAUGCAUAAGUUAUGUUAAGCCCGAAGAACAUUUAGGUGUAUUAAUUAGAAGCGUAGAGAAUGUAACGAGUUAAGAACGUUUGAUUAUCGAAGUGGAGUAAAAGUAUUCUAGCAGCAUUGCAAAAGUGUCCGGUAUCGUCGCAGUGGAUCUGCUAUCGGCGCUAUCGCUCCGGUGGCUGUGCCACACUAGGAAUAGGUCGAGUUCCCGCGUUGUUCCGAGCCGUGAUAUAUUGUUCCGCAUCUCCCUGUAUAAAUCUUGAACGCCUGCUGAGGUACACGGGACACGGCCGCCGCGCCGCAGCUUCGAGCUUCAAAUGGAAUUGUGUUUUUAUUUAUCGUGCGAAUCGUAACCCACUAUCGCUCACUCGAAAUCGCACUUUAUCUGCCGAAAUGCGGACUUGGAUCAAUGUUCACUUUAACCCAUAACUGGUUGUGUACUCUACGCGCCGUCUCUAUGCUCUUAUCGAUGUAUCACUGUUUUGGUAUUCAACGCUUUUGAACUUUUAGUUAACUGAAUUACGAAUUGUUAACUCUCCGUUACAAAAUGACGAAACAUAUUUAAAUAUUUUGUUAAAAAUCACAAUAGAUUUAUCAAAACUUUGAAUAAAACGUUUAAACUAAUAUAAAUAAAUAAAUCAACGCGUUCAGUGUGGGCUAAGAUACCGUAUUUGUAAAAGAAAAUCAUGUUUUUAUCUGAUCAUGCUGUGGAAAUUUCCUGUAGGAGUAUUGAAUUCUUUUUGUAAAGUAUUUUCGGGUUGUAAAACGGUAUGAGAUUAUGUCGCGUGUGGAGAAGAGAUUGCUUAUUGUAAAUAUUAAGUACGAAUUCGUUAUCGAAAUCUGAUGUACAACGUCUGUAUACGGUCAUUAAACAUAAUAAUAGUGAUAUCUGUGCUGCAGAUUUUAUGUAUAAAUAUUAUUUUCUAUUGACAUGACGCUCCAGUUGUAUAGCUAUAUAAAUAUUAGAUGUAAAAAAAGAAUUAGAUCUUAAUGUUAAAUUUAUUUGACCUUAUCUCAAAUACUUUAAAUCACCUUAACAUAUUUGAAUAUAUAAGUAAGUUAUCAAGGUUUAUCGAAGUUCAAAAUUGAUUUAUAAGUCAGAAUGUUUUAAAUCAAUAAGAAGUUAUAUUAACUUCGAGUUCCUUUUAAUUAGAGGAUCGUAAAUCUCGAUAGCUUAAUGCGUCAUGUCAUAAAUCCUAAAUACGUAACUACAAAGGCUUUAGUACGAAAAAUAUUCCAUUUAUUAGUCGAUAGCUUAACUUAUACUUAGUAAAAUAGUUUACCUAUAGUCACUUUGAGAAAAUGACAACAAUCAAUACUAGUUGUGCCCAGUAUACGAAUAGCUAAUUAAAUUAAGUAAUAUUAUAAUUUAUUUUAUAAGAUACAGUAGUGGUAAUAUUUUUGGAUUCCUAUAAACAUAUACGUAAUUUGUCUUCUUUAUAACUUAGGAUUUGUCGAGCGGAAUUUGGUCGAGAUUCUUUCUGAUGUAAAUUUUUAAUUCCAACAAGCUUUGAAAGUGCCAAAUUAAUUGAUUUUGUCAAAAUUACUAAUUUAAUAUUAACGUACACUUUUAAAUAUUGUGAAUACCUGUUAAAAACGAAAGAAUCUACACCGAAUACUUUCUUGAUCUAUUUUUUUUUGUUAAAUAUUGUAAAUAUUGAAUUACUUAUUUAUAAAAAUAUCCUUAUAUCUGUUAUAAUUUUACUUAUGUGAAUCAAAAUUUGUACACUUGUUUUGAAAACACGAUUAUCGGCAUUCGAAUAUUUUUUUAUUGUUUAACAAUCGAUAUGAAUAUUUUAUUUAUUUAAUUUGGUACAUGCUCAGGAAUGUUAUACGUAAAUUUUGUCCUUAAUGAAGCAUUUGUCAUACGUAAAUAUUAGGUAGGCCCAAAUUAUUGUAAUGUAAUAUAAUUAAUAUUAAAUAGUAUAGAUGAAGAGAAAUACUUAAAACCUCGAGGGAUUCUAGUAUAAAAAUGGUUUAAAAGUUUUUUGUGUUUUAUGAUUGUAUUUGUGUGGAGCGUUGUGUAAUAUUAUAUACAUAUAUAUUGAUAUCUAUUAAAUUGGAAUGGAUAUUAUAAUUUUUUUGUACAAUAUCGGCGCCAGUGCGACACGAAACAUGCAUUAAAUAAAAAUUCUGUUACUGUGA
Long non-coding RNA from Papilio polytes (common Mormon), 3336 nucleotides. RefSeq lists it as uncharacterized. The record is from RefSeq and is a predicted model, not a curated record. The transcript has 2 exons. Lineage: Eukaryota; Metazoa; Arthropoda; Insecta; Lepidoptera; Papilionidae.